UUUUUUUUUUUUUGGCCUCCUUACACACUUAUGUACACGUUUGUGCAUAUACACACAAGAGAAAAAGUAAAUAUUAAAAGACGUAAAUUCUCACAUUUUUCACUUUGUGCUUUCAUUUUUCACUUUGUGUUAUAACUAGCUGUUCCUGAUUCUGACAUUUUUGACCUUAUUUUAUAUUAGAUUCUGUAUUAAACAUGGCAUUCAACAGACAUUUAUUAGCUGCUGAUAUGAAUAGCUCUGCAGUGAUGAAUAAGACACAGAAACUCCAGAGACUCAGAAGUGCAGGAUAAUUAUUCCGUAGCUUUGGGGAGAACUCGGCCUGCUUGAUCCACUUUCUAAUUGGCAUCCAGGGGUGAGCACAUGCAGCUGCUUCCCAGAGGGAAAUGGCCCCUUCACAAUUCAAGUCUUCCAUGUUUUGAGGAGCUGGGAGGGAUGUUAGAGACUGAGCCUACCUCUCUAGUUUGUCUCCUCUAUACCAUGGAUACAUAUUCUUUUUGCUUAGAAUACAAUGUCAAGUUGUAGGUUAAGCCCCGAGGUAGCUGCAGGAACUGAGAAAGACUGUACAGUAGCUUCCACUACAUCAUUGUGCUUUUGGACAUUUGUUUGUUUCUGAACAUCCCACUGUUAUCCAAACCCUGGGUUUAUGUACCCAAAUCUGUGCACUUCCUGUUCCUUUGAGCUGUGCUUUGAACUUCACAUGGUGUGGUUACCUGCCAGCCAGCAUUCAUUAGUGGAAGUGAAGCAAUCUCAGCGUGGUUGUGUCUGAGUCAGCACUUAGGUGAAUAGUUACUCUCACCUUUUUCAAUGAGAAUUCUCUUAUGAUAGAAAAUGGGUUGGGGGUGGUGGUGCGCGCCUUUAACCUCAGUACAGGAGUAGUAGAGACAGGUGGGUCUCUGAGGUAUUGGUCAAGCUGGUCUACAUACUGAGUUUCACUCCAGCCAAGGCUACAUUGUGAGAAUUUGGCUCAAGAAAAAUAUGAAACUGCAAACAAACCCAAUAACAGCAGCAACAGCAGCAACAACAACAACAACAACAACAACACAAACAAACAAAACACACACACACACACCAAGUCCUGUAGUUAAAAAGAGCCUAAGAUUCCCAUUCAAACCAUAGUUAACUUUAAACUCACAUGAUCAAAAAUACACCUGGGACUUUCUUGAGGUUGGGCUGCUCUAGCAGGGUAGGGAGUCUCAGGGAGAUGGAAGGGAGAAGAUGAAUCAGCUGAUUGGACAACAUGGGCAAGAACGCUUGGGAAUAAGAGGUUUAGUCUCAGGUGGGGAAGUGUUUGAGGGGUUGAAGGAGUGAGCUGAAACUCAGUAAGGCUGAAGACUGGAUUACAUUAGGCCUUUGGGUUGUGGUAAGGAGUUGAGUUUUGUUUUAAAGUGCAGUGGGGACCUACUGAACAGUUUUGAGCUGGAGUUAUAGAUGGUUUUUAGCUGCCUGAUGUAGGUGCUGGGACAAACAGGUGUUCAUACCCUAAGCCAGAUUUUCAGCCUUGCAGGAUAGUUCUAUGAUUUCUAACCUUUGUGAUUAUUGUUACUUUGUAUUGCACUUGUGAGAUAUUCUCUGGGUCCAUUUUGGGAUACAUUAAUCAUGUUAACAAUAGAUAAAUUUACUAUAAAAUUCUGCUUUUGAUUUGGUCUGCUUUUAGUCAGCUAAGGAUGCCAGUUAAAACCACUAAGCUAUAACUUUUCUAUUCUGCAUGAAUUUAGUAAUUUAAUUUUAUGAGAAAUAACAAAUGAGGUUGAUUGGUCACUUUGUAGCAAUCAACAAACACUGCCACUAAGCUUGUAUUUGGUCUACAGGAUUCUUUCCAAGAGUAAAGCCUUAUUUUGAUGUGAGAAAUAACCAAGAAACUGAAAAAUUAUGCUGGUUGUCUUUCUCUUUGAAAAUGAGUAAGUUUUAAAAUGGCCUUAAAGUCAAUUAAAUCUAUUUGGUAAAAUUAGACUGGCCCAUUUUCGAUAUUUCUUUGCGUAAGCAUAGGUAGAAACAGCGAGUAAAAUCUUCCAUCGUUAAUUUUUCUCUGUUUUUGAUGCUCACACUUUACAAAUCCUUUAACUGUAGAUUUCAAUACUUGAAGUGAUUUAGGUAUCAGAACAUUAUUCUUUCUCAUUCAUUUCUUAUUCACCCAUCUCUCUUCUCUGAGACAGGGUCUCAGUGUGUUGUGUUGUCUGUCUAGCCUGGAACUCACUAAGUGCACCAGGAUACCCUAAAACUCAGAGAGAUUCAUCUGCCUCUGCCUUCUGAGUGCUGUGAUUCCCUGGGUGUGACAUCAGGUUUGACGUUUUUUUUUUUUUGUUUGCUUGUCUUUGAGACUAUAACCCAUGCUGCCCUAGAACUCACAGUGUAGCCGAGGAAGACCUUGGGCUCCUGAUCUUCCCAUCUCUGCCUCCUAAGUGCUUACUAAGUGUAACUAAGGGGUUACAGGUGUUUCCCACCAUGUCCAUAUUCAUCCCCCCUACACCCUU
This 2471-nucleotide long non-coding RNA is filed under the name Mus musculus (house mouse). RNAcentral's name for it is "long non-coding RNA chr4:88109421-88111892". The record is from RNAcentral. Lineage: Eukaryota; Metazoa; Chordata; Mammalia; Rodentia; Muridae.